CUCCCUGCCGGCCGCGCCCGGGGCCGCCCCCGCCCCUGGCACCGCCGCGCGCCCCCCCGCGCCCCCGCCGCGCCCCCGCCGCGCCCCCGCCCGCCCCGACCGCCGCCUCCGCGAGCUGUCAACAAAGGACAACCGGGUUUGGCACCCGGAGGCCGCCGGGCUGCACGCCCUGCGCCCUGCGCAGCCCGGACCCGCCGGCCACCUUAAGUGGCCAAGGGGGCAACGAAAUCCUGCAAGGGGCGGGGGCGCUGGGGACUGGGGGGAGGCCUUGAGACCGCAGCCCGCCAGCACCCCCCAUCGACUCCGCACCCCCGCACCCCCCAGUGCGCGGAGCCCAGCACGCCCGCCCGCCCGCCCGCCCGCCCGCCCGCAGAGUAGGUGAGGGCAGUGGGGAGGUGCCCCCCCACCUCCCCUUAGCACCACCUGUCACCGCGUCCAUCCCGCACACGUCCCUCUUCAUCUUUAAUGCGAGUGACGGGGUGAGUGGGGAGGAGCGGGUGCGGCCCGUGGGGUUGAGAACAGAGGGCCUCGGAAUUGGAAUUGGUGGCAGCAAAUGCCCCCCCCCCCGCCCCCCGCCCGGCCUCGCUCGUGGAUUUCUAAAAGCCAACACGCUGUCAGGUGAGCUGUCUCUGGAUUCCGGAUGGCGAUGCCUCGGUGCCUUUACGACCAUUGAUUCGGUGCCAUGUAGUCUCCUGGUGUCCGCAGGGCCUGGACGUGGCUUUCCGAAGGAGGCCUGCAAGCUAGACCCCAGUGAGCUCGCAGGAUCUGCGUAGUCCCUGCUCCAGCCGAGAGCACAGCGAGUUUACUCAAUAUGUUCAAGUAUUCGGAUAAGCUCCAUCUACUGCCCUCUCGUGGCCACAGUCCUCAGUGGUAUAAACAGAAAAAAUUAAAUUAAAUUAAAAAAAAAAAAUCACUCCUGGGAAGCCUGGAGGGAGUCCAUGAAAUUCCCUGAGCAGGAGCGUAGGAAAAGGGGUGGUGGUAGUUGGGCAUUUAGGCCCGCGAGGGGUCUUACACAGUCGUCCACUCAACACCGUGUAGGAUGUGUGUGCAGGAAACUCUAGGCUUUCCUUCAUCGACUGAAAUUACUUAAUUCUUCAAAAGUUCUCUCAUCAUUGUAAUUAGCUGAAAUUUAUCUCCUUGUGACUUUCACUGGUUAUUCCUGGUUGUGUCCUGUGGAGCCACAUAGAAUCUGUCUAAGCUCUUUUCCCUGAUCCAUACCUGCUUUUUUUUUUUUCCUUCACACUUCUUUGGUGUUUAUUGUUGGCACCCCUCCAGGCAAUUAUCAUAAGUUACCCCAUAUUAUUAUUUAUUUCUCUUUAUAAGUAGGUCUUGUCUCCCCAUCCAGACAGUCUUGUCUACCCUCUUAUCUCUGAGUAGACUGAAUAUAAAUCGCAAUUUAUUAAAGAAUAUGAUUUGAAGAAGAUGCUAGGAAUUUUGGAACAGCAUUUCUCCCAUCU
RNAcentral lists this long non-coding RNA (1457 nucleotides) under Canis lupus familiaris (dog). Its description in RNAcentral is "lncRNA (ENSCAFG00030017079.1)". Lineage: Eukaryota; Metazoa; Chordata; Mammalia; Carnivora; Canidae. The record is from RNAcentral.